UCUGGCUCAGGAUGAACGCUAGCUACAGGCUUAACACAUGCAAGUCGAGGGGCAGCAUGAUCGAAGCUGCUUGAUGAUGGCGACCGGCGCACGGGUGAGUAACGCGUAUCCAACCUUCCCUAUAGUAGAGAAUAGCCCGGCGAAAGUCGGAUUAAUGCUCUAUGUUGUAUUUAGAGGACAUCUGAAGAAUACCAAAGGUUUACCGCUAUAGGAUGGGGAUGCGUCUGAUUAGGUUGUUGGCGGGGUAACGGCCCACCAAGCCCACGAUCAGUAGGGGUUCUGAGAGGAAGGUCCCCCACAUUGGAACUGAGACACGGUCCAAACUCCUACGGGAGGCAGCAGUGAGGAAUAUUGGUCAAUGGACGAAAGUCUGAACCAGCCAAAAGUAGCGUGCAGGAUGACGGCCCUAUGGGUUGUAAACUGCUUUUAUACAGGGAUAAAGUAAGGGACGUGUCCCUUUUUGUAGGUACUGUAUGAAUAAGGACCGGCUAAUUCCGUGCCAGCCGCGGC
This 510-nucleotide ribosomal RNA is filed under the name uncultured bacterium. RNAcentral describes it as "bacterial SSU rRNA". It matches the Rfam family "Bacterial small subunit ribosomal RNA", at positions 18 to 518 of the family's 1533-position model. The record is from RNAcentral.